This 228-nucleotide unclassified non-coding RNA is filed under the name Glomus sp. Its description in RNAcentral is "partial contains 5.8S ribosomal RNA and internal transcribed spacer 2". The stretch from base 1 to 71 matches the Rfam family "5.8S ribosomal RNA", at positions 84 to 154 of the family's 154-position model. Lineage: Eukaryota; Fungi; Glomeromycota; Glomeromycetes; Glomerales; Glomeraceae. The record is from RNAcentral.
GUGAAUCAUCAAAUUUUUGAACGCAAAUUGCACUCUCUGGUAUUCCGGAGAGUAUGCCUGUUUGAGGGUCAGUUUAAAUAAAAAUCGGUGUGUGUUCUUCCUUUCGUGGUUACGCACCGGUUUUGGGUCGUCUUGCCUUCGGUUAAGUGACCUAAUAUUUUGCAUGAUUUUUUUCGAACGUAUUGAAAUAGUUUUCGUAACGUUGCAAUAUCGAAAUAUAGGUUUGGU